CAGUUCCCCUGUCAGCUGUCCAAAAUGGGAAGGCAGGAUGUGAUUGAUGGAGCAUGAUGCUUCUCCAGUAUGCUACGCUGACCUGGAGUCAGUUCCUCUGAGGCUGCCUGGAAAGGAGGUUCUGUCUGACUCCAGCACAGCUCAGAGACAUAUUGGAAUCUCAGAGGUCCACUGAAUUCGGUCAGUGUGGUUCAAAUGGAAAAAGAUAUCUCAGAUUCAGCACAGAAAAAGGUCCUUUGCAGUACAGUAAUGCCCUGUCCUUUCUCUACCGCCUCAGUCAAUAAAGAGUGGCAAAAGCUUCUAUAAAGUCACUAAAAGUGGAAAACACAUUAAUCAACCAAAUUGACCAGCAUGUCGUGCUCGGCAGGUCCACAUCACACGUCUGCUCUCUCAUCUGGGGUUGUCAUCUGUAAUAUCCCCCCGGCACACUGACCGACGCUGAUAUCCACCCAUCAGUCCGGAGCAAAUGGCUUGUGCAUCACAGGCACAGUGCGGAGAGCGUGCAGUGAGGAGAAAUAUGUUCACUUUCACUCUUUGCUGUCCUCAGCAGCCACCUUAUCAGAUCAAACAGCUGAGAAACACAGCUAUGACUCAGUGACCACAGUGUGUCUGUAUGUGUUUAUGUGUGUGUGUGUGAGUGUGUGUUUGGGGGGGGGGGUCUAUCUGCUUCCUGGGGCCCUGGAAACAUAUUGGUUACGUUAGAUAUGGGAAUGCACACUUCCCCACACAGACACACACACACACACCAACGUAUACUUUGAAGAACGAACACACACACCUAACAGAGUCAGAUAUGCCAAUACCGCAUGGAUCAGCGGUGCCUUAUCCUGCUUUGUCCAACAGCAGCUCGGCGUCAGAUAUCAUAUUACUGACUGACUCCAGAGACAUUCGCGAGGUCAGUGGAUCAGAACUUGAUCGAUACUGGGAAAGGAGAUACAGGAGGUUAUAUUAAAGUGGACAGAAUUAAAUUAAAUUGGAAAAUACAACUGAAAGGCACAUAAAACCUCCAUUUCCCCCUCAGUGACCGGUCUGUACCUGCAGAUUCUCUUUCUCUCUUGCCUUUCACUACCAUGCACUAAACAUAGCAGACUUUGUGGAGCAGUGUAUGGCACAGAAAACAGAACUUUAUAUAAUAAACGUCAGUAUUCAACACUGAUAUCAACAUUUUAGAAUCAUGAACAUGGGUGUGUAUAAUACUAGUGUAUGUUAUGUAUGGCUUGUUAAGUAAUAAACUAUUAUUUCUUUUAUAUAACAAUUUUUAUACAGGUCGAAGAUGAAACAUUUAAUUUUGGUGUCUAAAUAAAUUAAUCAAAUUAAAAUGAAAAAAAAAAAAUCUAUCAAAUUAAAAUGACAAUG
Molecule: long non-coding RNA, 1356 nt
Filed under: Danio rerio (zebrafish)
Lineage: Eukaryota; Metazoa; Chordata; Actinopteri; Cypriniformes; Danionidae
Description: lncRNA si:dkeyp-7b3.2 (ENSDARG00000098668.2)
Source: RNAcentral